AGACAGCGAUGACAUUUGCUCUCACAGCAGA
Molecule: non-coding RNA, 31 nt
Filed under: Homo sapiens (human)
Lineage: Eukaryota; Metazoa; Chordata; Mammalia; Primates; Hominidae
Source: RNAcentral